This 253-nucleotide ribosomal RNA is filed under the name uncultured bacterium. RNAcentral describes it as "partial 16S ribosomal RNA". It matches the Rfam family "Bacterial small subunit ribosomal RNA", at positions 524 to 776 of the family's 1533-position model. The record is from RNAcentral.
UACGUAGGGUGCGAGCGUUAAUCGGAAUUAUUGGGCGUAAAGGGUGCGUAGGCGGAUAUAUAAGUUAGAUGUGAAAAGCCAGGGCUUAACCUUGGUCGUGCAUUUAAGACUGUAUGUCUAGAGUUUGUAAGAGGGGGGUAGAAUUCCAAGUGUAGCAGUGAAAUGCGUAGAGAUUUGGAGGAAUACCGAUGGCGAAGGCAGCCCCCCGGUAUAGAACUGACGCUGAGGAGCGAAAGCUAGGGGAGCAAACAGG